CCUACGGGUGGCAGCAGUGAGGAAUAUUGGACAAUGGGCGCGAGCCUGAACCAGCCAAGUAGCGUGAAGGAUGACUGCCCUACGGGUUGUAAACUUCUUUUAUAAAGGAAUAAAGUGAGGCAAGUGUGCCUUUUUGUAUGUACUUUAUGAAUAAGGAUCGGCUAACUUCGUGCCAGCAGACGAGGUAAUACUGAGGAUCCGAGCGUUAUCCGGAUUUGUUGGGUUGAAAGGGAGCGUAGAGGGGUUGUUAAGUUAGUUGUGAAAGUUUGCGGCUCAACCGUAAAAUUGCUAUUGAUACUGGCAGUCUUGAGUACAGUUGAGGUAGGCGGAAUUCGUUGUGUAGCGGUGAAAUGCUUAGAUAUCACGAAGAACUCCGAUUGCGAAGGCAGCUUACUAAACUGCCACUGACAUUGAUGCUCGAAAGUGUGGGUAUCAAACAGGAUUAGAUACCCGAGUAGUC
Molecule: ribosomal RNA, 460 nt
Filed under: uncultured bacterium
Lineage: Bacteria
Description: partial 16S ribosomal RNA
Rfam family: Bacterial small subunit ribosomal RNA
Source: RNAcentral